Small nuclear RNA from Dermacentor albipictus, 188 nucleotides. RefSeq annotates it as U2 spliceosomal RNA. NCBI's taxonomy places the organism in Eukaryota, Metazoa, Arthropoda, Arachnida, Ixodida, Ixodidae. The record is from RefSeq and is a predicted model, not a curated record.
AACGCACACUUGGCUGACUCGGGUCAAAGUGCAGUAUCUCUUCUUAUCAGCUUAAUAUCUGAUACGGGUUCUAUUUGGACCAAAGAUGCUAUGUUUAUUUUUGCAAGUUGGCGGAGUUCUUGAAACCUGCUUCACCUCCGCCGUGGUCGGCCCGGUAUCACACCCUCCCCGGGAUCGGCCCACGGUUU